RNAcentral lists this ribosomal RNA (404 nucleotides) under Hyphomicrobium sp. RNAcentral's name for it is "bacterial SSU rRNA". It matches the Rfam family "Bacterial small subunit ribosomal RNA", at positions 355 to 776 of the family's 1533-position model. The record is from RNAcentral. Lineage: Bacteria; Pseudomonadati; Pseudomonadota; Alphaproteobacteria; Hyphomicrobiales; Hyphomicrobiaceae.
UGGGGAAUCUUGGACAAUGGGCGCAAGCCUGAUCCAGCCAUGCCGCGUGAGUGACGAAGGCCUUAGGGUUGUAAAGCUCUUUUAGCAGGGAAGAUAAUGACGGUACCUGCAGAAUAAGCCCCGGCUAACUUCGUGCCAGCAGCCGCGGUGAUACGAAGGGGGCUAGCGUUGUUCGGAAUUACUGGGCGUAAAGCGCACGUAGGCGGAUUUGUAAGUUAGGGGUGAAAUCCCGGGGCUCAACCUCGGAACUGCCUUUGAUACUGCAAGUCUCGAGUCCGGAAGAGGUGAGUGGAAUUCCUAGUGUAGAGGUGAAAUUCGUAGAUAUUAGGAAGAACACCAGUGGCGAAGGCGGCUCACUGGUCCGGUACUGACGCUGAGGUGCGAAAGCGUGGGGAGCAAACAGG